Molecule: ribosomal RNA, 468 nt
Filed under: uncultured bacterium
Lineage: Bacteria
Description: partial 16S ribosomal RNA
Rfam family: Bacterial small subunit ribosomal RNA
Source: RNAcentral
GACGAACGCUGGCGGCGUUCUUAACACAUGCAAGUCGAACGGAAAGGCCCUGCUUUUGUGGGGUGCUCGAGUGGCGAACGGGUGAGUAACACGUGAGUAACCUGCCCUUGACUUUGGGAUAACUUCAGGAAACUGGGGCUAAUACCGGAUAGGAGCUCCUGCUGCAUGGUGGGGGUUGGAAAGUUUCGGCGGUUGGGGAUGGACUCGCGGCUUAUCAGCUUGUUGGUGGGGUAGUGGCUUACCAAGGCUUUGACGGGUAGCCGGCCUGAGAGGGUGACCGGCCACAUUGGUACUGAGAUACGGCCCAGACUCCUACGGGAGGCAGCAGUGGGGAAUAUUGCACAAUGGGCGGAAGCCUGAUGCAGCAACGCCGCGUGCGGGAUGACGGCCUUCGGGUUGUAAACCGCUUUCGCCUGUGACGAAGCGUGAGUGACGGUAAUGGGUAAAGAAGCACCGGCUAACUACGUG